UCAACCUUAAAUAUAUAAUAUUCUCCUGUGCUGUUCUUGCGUAGUGUAAUAGUACGAGAGAGAGGGAGAGGGAGAGAGAGAGAGAGAGAGAUCAUGAAGGUGUUGGGGUUUCUUGUACGCCUGUGCUGUGUUUUUCUGCUGAUCUUCAUGCAUGCAUCCUUUGGUACUGCACAAAAGGGUAAUAUUUAUCAUCCGUUCACCCCAUCAGCAGGCCGCGUGGACAAUGGCCCGAGCAGAGAACCAUCAAGUCCCAUCGGAAAGCCCCCAAGACGCCCAUGAUCAUCAAUCACAUGCACCUACCUUGCUAGUUCAAUAAAUCAAGCUGCAUACUAAUUAAUAAUAUAUAUAUAUAUAUAUAUAGAUGUUUAAUAAAGAUCAGAUGAUGAAACAGCGGAUCAUAUAUAUAGCCUAGCUAUAUGCAGGCUGAGAUCAUUUAUUGUAUGAAGCUUAAUUUGCUUCUUUCUCUGAUGAGUUAAAUAUUUAAUUCCGUCGGCUAACUUCUAUUAAUCGA
This is a long non-coding RNA of Carya illinoinensis, 511 nucleotides long. RefSeq lists it as uncharacterized. The transcript is spliced from 2 exons. The record is from RefSeq and is a predicted model, not a curated record. NCBI's taxonomy places the organism in Eukaryota, Viridiplantae, Streptophyta, Magnoliopsida, Fagales, Juglandaceae.